RNAcentral lists this ribosomal RNA (467 nucleotides) under uncultured bacterium. RNAcentral's name for it is "SSU rRNA". It matches the Rfam family "Bacterial small subunit ribosomal RNA", at positions 26 to 521 of the family's 1533-position model. The record is from RNAcentral.
AGCCUGAACGCUGGCGGCGUGGCUAAGACAUGCAAGUCGUACGGUGUAGCAAUACACAGUGGCGAACGGGAGAGUAAUGAAUCGCUAAUGUGCCCCGGACUCUGAGAUAGCCAUCCGAAAGGGUGGGUAAUAUCAGAUGACAUAUUUCUGUCGCAUGAUAGAGAUCUCAAAGGUCCGCCGGUCUGGGAGCAGGCGAUUUCGUAUCAGCUAGUUGGUGAGGUAACGGCUCACCAAGGCGACGACGCGUAGCCGGACUGAGAGGUUGGCCGGCCUCAUUGGGACUGAGACACUGCCCAGACUCCUACGGGGGGCUGCAGUAACGAAUCUUCCGCAAUGCACGAAAGUGUGACGGAGCGACGCCGCGUGUGGGACGAAGUCCUUCGGGAUGUAAACCACUGUCAGGGGUUACCAAGUUCUGAGGAGCCCCAGAGGAAGGGACGGCUAACUCUGUGCCGAGCAGCCGCGGU